Molecule: long non-coding RNA, 365 nt
Filed under: Brachypodium distachyon (stiff brome)
Lineage: Eukaryota; Viridiplantae; Streptophyta; Magnoliopsida; Poales; Poaceae
Description: long non-coding RNA (BDIS_LNC005395)
Source: RNAcentral
GACGCGGCCUGCAGGGGCUGGUGCAGCAGCUCAGUGCCACCAAGGCCGACCAGGCCGAGGACGCGCUGGACGAGCUCCACUACUUCAUGAUCCAAGACCAGCUCGACGGAACCCGGUACGCGGUGCCGGAUCUGGGUGAUCAUGCUCGCCACGGUCGCCAUGCUCUUCGCCACACCGUCAGUAACUGUCUUUCAUGCUUUUCUUGUUCGCCUAUGCACCAAGAUCAUGAUCAAGCUGCUGCUGCUGUUACCCAUAAAUCACGCAAUCCAACCAACUCUGCUAGUGCUAGUAGUGGAACUAAUGGACCAGCUGAUAAUUCGCCAUUCGACAGAGUGGCAAAUGUCCAAGAAAAUUAAGUUGGUCAU